AUUCUCCUCACCUGCUACGUUAAUUCUCCUAACCUGCUACGUAAACAAAGCAUCGCUACACAGGAACUGACCAAUGAAAACACGUUAACAAACAAACAACACCACUCAAUCAAAACUUUCUGACCAAUCACAGAGCGCUGAUGUUACAUCCGUCGAUGAUGAUCCACCCACUUAUUCCACCAAUCACACUGUCGUACACCUUCCAUAUGAAGUUCCCCAUACUGAGACAGAAGGAGUUGUGUGUUUCUAGAUUGAUGCUGAGGGAGUUGGGUCCGUGGUUUCUAGGUUGAUACUGAGGGAGUUGGGUCCGUGGUCAUGUGUUUCUAGGUUGAUGCUGAGGGAGUUGGGUCCGUGGUCAUGUGUUUCUAGGUUGAUGCUGAGGGAGUUGGGUCCGUGGUCAUGUGUUUCUAGGUUGAUGCUGAGGGAGUUGGGUCCGUGGUCAUGUGUUUCUAGAUUGAUGCUGAGGGAGUUGGGUCCGUGGUCAUGUGUUUCUAGGUUGAUGCUGAGGGAGUUGGGUCCGUGGUUUCUAGGUUGAUGCUGAGGGAGUUGGGUCCGUGGUCAUGUGUUUCUAGGUUGAUGCUGAGGGAGUUGGGUCCAUGGUCAUGUGUUUCUAGGUUGAUGCUGAGGGAGUUGGGUCCGUGGUCAUGUGUUUCUAGGUUGAUGCUGAAGGAGUUGGGUCCGUGGUCAUGUGUUUCUAGGUUGAUGCUGAGGGAGUUGGGUCCGUGGUUUCUAGGUUGAUGCUGAGGGAGUUGGGUCCAGGGUCAUGUGUUUCUAGGUUGAUGCUGAGGGAGUUGGGUCCGUGGUUUCUAGGUUGAUGCUGAGGGAGUUGGGUCCAUGGUCAUGUGUUUCUAGGUUGAUGCUGAGGGAGUUGGGUCCGUGGUCAUGUGUUUCUAGGUUGAUGCUGAGGGAGUUGGGUCCGUGGUCAUGUGUUUCUAGGUUGAUGCUGAGGGAGUUGGGUCCGUGGUCAUGUGUUUCUAGAUUGAUGCUGAGGGAGUUGGGUCCGUGGUCAUGUGUUUCUAGGUUGAUGCUGAGGGAGUUGGGUCCGUGGUCAUGUGUUUCUAGGUUGAUGCUGAGGGAGUUGGGUCCGUGGUCAUGUGUUUCUAGGUUGAUGCUGAGGGAGUUGGGUCCGUGGUCAUGUGUUUCUAGGUUGAUGCUGAGGGAGUUGGGUCCGUGGUCAUGUGUUUCUAGGUUGAUGCUGAGGGAGUUGGGUCCGUGGUCAUGUGUUUCUAGGUUGAUGCUGAGGGAGUUGGGUCCGUGGUUUCUAGGUUGAUGCUGAGGGAGUUGGGUCCGUGGUUUCUAGGUUGAUGCUGAGGGAGUUGGGUCCGUGGUUUCUAGGUUGAUGCUGAGGGAGUUGGGUCCGUGGUUUCUAGGUUGAUGCUGAGGGAGUUGGGUCCGUGGUUUCUAGGUUGAUGCUGAGGGAGUUGGGUCCGUGGUCAUGUGUUUCUAGGUUGAUGCUGAGGGAGUUGGGUCCAUGGUCAUGUGUUUCUAGGUUAAUGAUGAGGGAGUUGGGUCCGUGGUUUCUAGGUUAAUGCUGAGGGAGUUGGGCCCGUGGUCAUGUGUUUCUAGGUUGAUGCUGAGGGAGUUGGGUCCAUGGUCAUGUGUUUCUAGGUUAAUGAUGAGGGAGUUGGGUCCGUGGUCAUGUGUUUCUAGGUUGAUGCUGAGGGAGUUGGGUCCGUGGUCAUGUGUUUCUAGGUUGAUGCUGAGGGAGUUGGGUCCGUGGUCAUGUGUUUCUAGGUUGAUGCUGAGGGAGUUGGGUCCGUGGUCAUGUGUUUAUAGGUUGAUGCUGAGGGAGUUGGGUCCAUGGUCAUGUGUUUCUAGGUUAAUGAUGAGGGAGUUGGGUCUGUGGUCAUGUGUUUCUAGGUUGAUGCUGAGGGAGUUGGGUCCGUGGUCAUGUGUUUCUAGGUUGAUGCUGAGGCAGUUGGGUCCGUGGUCAUGUGUUUCUAGGUUGAUGCUGAGGGAGUUGGGUCCGUGGUCAUGUGUUUCUAGGUUGAUGCUGAGGGAGUUGGGUCCGUGGUCAUGUGUUUCUAGGUUGAUGCUGAGGGAGUUGGGUCCAUGGUCAUGUGUUUCUAGGUUGAUGCUGAGGGAGUUGGGUCCGUGGUCUUGUGUUUCUAGGUUGAUGCUGAGGGAGUUGGGUCCGUGGUCAUGUGUUUCUAGGUUGAUGCUGAGGGAGUUGGGUCCAUGGUCAUGUGUUUCUAGGUUGAUGCUGAGGGAGUUGGGUCCGUGGUCAUGUGUUUCUAGGUUGAUGCUGAGGGAGUUGGGUCCGUGGUCAUGUGUUUCUAGGUUGAUGCUGAGGGAGUUGGGUCCGUGGUCAUGUGUUUCUAGGUUGAUGCUGAGGGAGUUGGGUCCGUGGUCAUGUGUUUCUAGGUUGAUACUGAGGGAGUUGGGUCCAUGGUCAUGUGUUUCUAGGUUGAUGCUGAGGGAGUUGGGUCCAUGGUCAUGUGUUUCUAGGUUGAUGAUGAGGGAGUUGGGUCUGUGGUUUCUAGGUUGAUGCUGAGGGAGUUGGGUCCGUGGUCAUGUGUUUCUAGGUUGAUGCUGAGGGAGUUGGGUCCAUGGUCAUGUGUUUCUAGGUUGAUGCUGAGGGAGUUGGGUCCGUGGUCUUGUGUUUCUAGGUUGAUGCUGAGGGAGUUGGGACCGUGGUCAUGUGUUUCUAGGUUGAUGCUGAGGGAGUUGGGUCCAUGGUCAUGUGUUUCUAGGUUGAUGCUGAGGGAGUUGGGUCCGUGGUCAUGUGUUUCUAGGUUGAUGCUGAGGGAGUUGGGUCCGUGGUCAUGUGUUUCUAGGUUGAUGCUGAGGGAGUUGGGUCCGUGGUCAUGUGUUUCUAGGUUGAUGCUGAGGGAGUUGGGUCCGUGGUCAUGUGUUUCUAGGUUGAUGCUGAGGGAGUUGGGUCCAUGGUCAUGUGUUUCUAGGUUAAUGAUGAGGGAGUUGGGUCCGUGGUUUCUAGGUUGAUGCUGAGGGAGUUGGGUCCGUGGUUUCUAGGUUGAUGCUGAGGGAGUUGGGUCCGUGGUUUCUAGGUUGAUGCUGAGGGAGUUGGGUCCGUGGUUUCUAGGUUGAUGGGUCCGUGGUUUCGAGGUUGAUGCUGAGGGAGUUGGGUCCGUGGUUUCUAGGUUGAUGCUGAGGGAGUUGGGUCCGUGGUUUCUAGGUUGAUGCUGAGGGAGUUGGGUCCGUGGUUUCUAGGUUGAUGCUGAGGGAGUUGGGUCCGUGGUCAUGUGUUUCUAGGUUGAUGCUGAGGGAGUUGGGUCCAUGGUCAUGUGUUUCUAGGUUAAUGAUGAGGGAGUUGGGUCCGUGGUUUCUAGGUUAAUGCUGAGGGAGUUGGGCCCGUGGUCAUGUGUUUCUAGGUUGAUGCUGAGGGAGUUGGGUCCGUGGUCAUGUGUUUCUAGGUUGAUACUGAGGGAGUUGGGUCCGUGGUCAUGUGUUUCUAGGUUGAUGCUGAGGGAGUUGGGUCCGUGGUCAUGUGUUUCUAGGUUGAUGCUGAGGGAGUUGGGUCCGUGGUCAUGUGUUUCUAGGUUGAUGCUGAGGGAGUUGGGUCCGUGGUCAUGUGUUUCUAGGUUGAUGCUGAGGGAGUUGGGUCCGUGGUCAUGUGUUUCUAGGUUGAUGCUGAGGGAGUUGGGUCCGUGGUUUCUAGGUUGAUACUGAGGGAGUUGGGUCCAUGGUCAUGUGUUUCUAGGUUGAUGCUGAGGGAGUUGGGUCCAUGGUCAUGUGUUUCUAGGUUGAUGAUGAGGGAGUUGGGUCUGUGGUUUCUAGGUUGAUGCUGAGGGAGUUGGGUCCGUGGUCAUGUGUUUCUAGGUUGAUGCUGAGGGAGUUGGGUCCAUGGUCAUGUGUUUCUAGGUUGAUGCUGAGGGAGUUGGGUCCGUGGUCUUGUGUUUCUAGGUUGAUGCUGAGGGAGUUGGGACCGUGGUCAUGUGUUUCUAGGUUGAUGCUGAGGGAGUUGGGACCGUGGUCAUGUGUUUCUAGGUUGAUGCUGAGGGAGUUGGGUCCAUGGUCAUGUGUUUGUAGGUUGAUGCUGAGGGAGUUGGGUCCGUGGUCAUGUGUUUCUAGGUUGAUGCUGAGGGAGUUGGGUCCGUGGUCAUGUGUUUCUAGGUUGAUGCUGAGGGUGUUGGGUCCGUGGUUUCUAGGUUGAUGCUUAGGGAGUUGGGUCCGUGGUCAUGUGUUUCUAGGUUGAUGCUGAGGGAGUUGGGUCCGUGGUCAUGUGUUUCUAGGUUGAUGCUGAGGGAGUUGGGUCCAUGGUCAUGUGUUUCUAGGUUGAUGCUGAGGGAGUUGGGUCCGUGGUCAUGUGUUUCUGGGUUGAUGCUGAGGGAGUUGGGUCCGUGGUCAUGUGUUUCUAGGUUGAUGCUGAGGGAGUUGGGUCCAUGGUCAUGUGUUUCUAGGUUAAUGAUGAGGGAGUUGGGUCCGUGGUCAUGUGUUUCUAGGUUGAUGCUGAGGGAGUUGGGUCCGUGGUCAUGUGUUUCUAGGUUGAUGCUGAGGGAGUUGGGUCCGUGGUCAUGUGUUUCUAGGUUGAUGCUGAGGGAGUUGGGUCCGUGGUUUCUAGGUUGAUGCUGAGGGAGUUGGGUCCGUGGUUUCUAGGUUGAUGCUGAGGGAGUUGGGUCCGUGGUCAUGUGUUUCUAGGUUGAUGCUGAGGGAGUUGGGUCCAUGGUCAUGUGUUUCUAGGUUAAUGAUGAGGGAGUUGGGUCCGUGGUUUCUAGGUUAAUGCUGAGGGAGUUGGGUCCGUGGUCAUGUGUUUCUAGGUUGAUGCUGAGGGAGUUGGGUCCGUGGUCAUGUGUUUCUAGGUUGAUACUGAGGGAGUUGGGUCCGUGGUCAUGUGUUUCUAGGUUGAUGCUGAGGGAGUUGGGUCCGUGGUCAUGUGUUUCUAGGUUGAUGCUGAGGGAGUUGGGUCCGUGGUCAUGUGUUUCUAGGUUGAUGCUGAGGGAGUUGGGUCCGUGGUCAUGUGUUUCUAGGUUGAUGCUGAGGGAGUUGGGUCCGUGGUCAUGUGUUUCUAGGUUGAUGCUGAGGGAGUUGGGUCCGUGGUUUCUAGGUUGAUACUGAGGGAGUUGGGUCCAUGGUCAUGUGUUUCUAGGUUGAUGCUGAGGGAGUUGGGUCCAUGGUCAUGUGUUUCUAGGUUGAUGAUGAGGGAGUUGGGUCUGUGGUUUCUAGGUUGAUGCUGAGGGAGUUGGGUCCGUGGUCAUGUGUUUCUAGGUUGAUGCUGAGGGAGUUGGGUCCAUGGUCAUGUGUUUCUAGGUUGAUGCUGAGGGAGUUGGGUCCGUGGUCAUGUGUUUCUAGGUUCAUGCUGAGGGAGUUGGGUCCAUGGUCUUGUGUUUCUAGGUUGAUGCUGAGGGAGUUGGGACCGUGGUCAUGUGUUUCUAGGUUGAUGCUGAGGGAGUUGGGACCGUGGUCAUGUGUUUCUAGGUUGAUGCUGAGGGAGUUGGGUCCAUGGUCAUGUGUUUGUAGGUUGAUGCUGAGGGAGUUGGGUCCGUGGUCAUGUGUUUCUAGGUUGAUGCUGAGGGAGUUGGGUCCGUGGUCAUGUGUUUCUAGGUUGAUGCUGAGGGUGUUGGGUCCGUGGUUUCUAGGUUGAUACUUAGGGAGUUGGGUCCAUGGUCAUGUGUUUCUAGGUUGAUGCUGAGGGAGUUGGGUCCGUGGUCAUGUGUUUCUAGGUUGAUGCUGAGGGAGUUGCGUCCAUGGUCAUGUGUUUCUAGGUUGAUGCUGAGGGAGUUGGGUCCGUGGUCAUGUGUUUCUGGGUUGAUGCUGAGGGAGUUGGGUCCGUGGUCAUGUGUUUCUAGGUUGAUGCUGAGGGAGUUGGGUCCGUGGUCAUGUGUUUCUAGGUUGAUGAUGAGGGAGUUGGGUCCGUGGUCAUGUGUUUCUAGGUUGAUGCUGAGGGAGUUGGGUCCGUGGUCAUGUGUUUCUAGGUUGAUGCUGAGGGAGUUGGGUCCGUGGUCAUGUGUUUCUAGGUUGAUGCUGAGGGAGUUGGGUCCAUGGUCAUGUGUUUCUAGGUUAAUGAUGAGGGAGUUGGGUCCGUGGUUUCUAGGUUGAUGCUGAGGGAGUUGGGUCCGUGGUUUCUAGGUUGAUGCUGAGGGAGUUGGGUCCGUGGUUUCUAGGUUGAUGCUGAGGGAGUUGGGUCCGUGGUCAUGUGUUUCUAGGUUGAUGCUGAGGGAGUUGGGUCCAUGGUCAUGUGUUUCUAGGUUAAUGAUGAGGGAGUUGGGUCCGUGGUUUCUAGGUUGAUGCUGAGGGAGUUGGGUCCGUGGUUUCUAGGUUGAUGCUGAGGGAGUUGGGUCCGUGGUUUCUAGGUUGAUGGGUCCGUGGUUUCGAGGUUGAUGCUGAGGGAGUUGGGUCCGUGGUUUCUAGGUUGAUGCUGAGGGAGUUGGGUCCGUGGUUUCUAGGUUGAUGCUGAGGGAGUUGGGUCCGUGGUUUCUAGGUUGAUGCUGAGGGAGUUGGGCCCGUGGUCAUGUGUUUCUAGGUUGAUGCUGAGGGAGUUGGGUCCGUGGUCAUGUGUUUCUAGGUUGAUACUGAGGGAGUUGGGUCCGUGGUCAUGUGUUUCUAGGUUGAUGCUGAGGGAGUUGGGUCCGUGGUCAUGUGUUUCUAGGUUGAUGCUGAGGGAGUUGGGUCCGUGGUCAUGUGUUUCUAGGUUGAUGCUGAGGGAGUUGGGUCCGUGGUCAUGUGUUUCUAGGUUGAUGCUGAGGGAGUUGGGUCCGUGGUCAUGUGUUUCUAGGUUGAUGCUGAGGGAGUUGGGUCCGUGGUUUCUAGGUUGAUACUGAGGGAGUUGGGUCCAUGGUCAUGUGUUUCUAGGUUGAUGCUGAGGGAGUUGGGUCCAUGGUCAUGUGUUUCUAGGUUGAUGAUGAGGGAGUUGGGUCUGUGGUUUCUAGGUUGAUGCUGAGGGAGUUGGGUCCGUGGUCAUGUGUUUCUAGGUUGAUGCUGAGGGAGUUGGGUCCAUGGUCAUGUGUUUCUAGGUUGAUGCUGAGGGAGUUGGGUCCGUGGUCAUGUGUUUCUAGGUUGAUGCUGAGGGAGUUGGGUCCAUGGUCAUGUGUUUCUAGGUUGAUGCUGAGGGAGUUGGGUCCGUGGUCUUGUGUUUCUAGGUUGAUGCUGAGGGAGUUGGGACCGUGGUCAUGUGUUUCUAGGUUGAUGCUGAGGGAGUUGGGACCGUGGUCAUGUGUUUCUAGGUUGAUGCUGAGGGAGUUGGGUCCAUGGUCAUGUGUUUGUAGGUUGAUGCUGAGGGAGUUGGGUCCGUGGUCAUGUGUUUCUAGGUUGAUGCUGAGGGAGUUGGGUCCGUGGUCAUGUGUUUCUAGGUUGAUGCUGAGGGUGUUGGGUCCGUGGUUUCUAGGUUGAUACUUAGGGAGUUGGGUCCAUGGUCAUGUGUUUCUAGGUUGAUGCUGAGGGAGUUGGGUCCGUGGUCAUGUGUUUCUAGGUUGAUGCUGAGGGAGUUGGGUCCAUGGUCAUGUGUUUCUAGGUUGAUGCUGAGGGAGUUGGGUCCGUGGUCAUGUGUUUCUGGGUUGAUGCUGAGGGAGUUGGGUCCGUGGUCAUGUGUUUCUAGGUUGAUGCUGAGGGAGUUGGGUCCGUGGUCAUGUGUUUCUAGGUUAAUGAUGAGGGAGUUGGGUCCGUGGUCAUGUGUUUCUAGGUUGAUGCUGAGGGAGUUGGGUCCGUGGUCAUGUGUUUCUAGGUUGAUGCUGAGGGAGUUGGGUCCGUGGUCAUGUGUUUCUAGGUUGAUGCUGAGGGAGUUGGGUCCGUGGUCAUGUGUUUCUAGGUUGAUGCUGAGGGAGUUGGGUCCGUGGUUUCUAGGUUGAUGCUGAGGGAGUUGGGUCCGUGGUUUCUAGGUUGAUGCUGAGGGAGUUGGGUCCGUGGUCAUGUGUUUCUAGGUUGAUGCUGAGGGAGUUGGGUCCAUGGUCAUGUGUUUCUAGGUUAAUGAUGAGGGAGUUGGGUCCGUGGUUUCUAGGUUAAUGCUGAGGGAGUUGGGCCCGUGGUCAUGUGUUUCUAGGUUGAUGCUGAGGGAGUUGGGUCCGUGGUCAUGUGUUUCUAGGUUGAUACUGAGGGAGUUGGGUCCGUGGUCAUGUGUUUCUAGGUUGAUGCUGAGGGAGUUGGGUCCGUGGUCAUGUGUUUCUAGGUUGAUGCUGAGGGAGUUGGGUCCGUGGUCGAGUCACAUGCGAUGGAUUAUCUGGAUCAUGGCAGUUAUCGGCUCCACAUACGUCUUCUACUUCCACGAGAGGUAUAAACUGUUGGAGUUACUAGGAUACGUGGCCAUGGGGGCGGGGCCUGCACUUGUCAUCCUGUCCAUGGCGGACAGGGCAGGUUUGUGUGAGCUGGCGGUGGGUGGGAUUUUCUACGUGGUGGGUGUGGCCUUCUUUAAGAGCGAUGGAGUCGUCCCAUUCGCUCACGCCAUCUGGCACCUGUUCGUUGCCAUGGGAGCAGCUACACACUACUACGCUAUCUGGAGACACCUGUACACACCUGGACACUGAGACACACCUACCGUGGUGCUAGCUAAACAGGGAUCUGGUCCUGUACACACCUGGACACUGAGACACACACCUACCGUGGUGCUAGCUAAACAGGGAACUGGUCCUGUACACACCUACCGUGGUGCUAGCUAAACAGGGAUCUGGUCCUAUACACACCUACCGUGGUGCUAGCUAAACAGGGAUCUGGUCCUGUACACACCUGGACACUGAGACACACCUACCGUGGUGCUAGCUAAACAGGGAUCUGGUCUGACUGUUUACAUGAUGACAUCACCACAUCCAACUCUUACAAUUAUUAGUAGAAGUACCACAGUUACCAACAUGCUGGAAACAGGCUUUGAUUAUAUAAUGCCUGUAUGUUCCACACCAGAAGGAUCUCUGUCCAAUUAGAGACAGGAAUCAGUCAACUACCAGAAGGAUCUCUGUCCAAUUAGAGACAGGAAUCAGUGAACAGAAGGAUCUCUGUCCAAUUAGAGACAGGAAUCAGUGAACUGAAGGAUCUCUGUCCAAUUAGAGACAGGAAUCAGUCAACUACCAGAAGGAUCUCUGUCCAAUUAGAAACAGGAAUCAGUGAAUUGAAGGAUCUCUGUCCAAUUAGAAACAGGAAUCAGUGAACUGAAGGAUCUCUGUCCAAUUAGAGACAGGAAUCAGUCAACUACCAGAAGGAUCUCUGUCCAAUUAGAGACAGGAAUCAAUGAAUUACCAUAAAGAUCAUCAAGGACAUCAACCACCCGAGCCACUGCCUGUUCACCCUGCUAUCAUCCAGAAGGCGAGGUCAGUACAGGUGCAUCAAAGCUGGGACCGAGAGACUGAAAAACAGCUUCUACCUCAAGGCCAUCAGACUGUUAAACAGCCACCACUAACAUUGAGUGGCUGCUGCCAACACACUGACUCAACUCCAGCCACUUUAAUAAUUCAAAAUUGAUGAAAAAUGUAUCACGAGUCAUUUAAAACAAUGCCACUUAAUAUAAUGUUUAUAUGGGUUAUAUAUGGCCGUUUGGCCAUCGCUCAUCCAUAUAUCUUUAUGUACA
Molecule: RNA transcript, 9445 nt
Organism: Oncorhynchus keta (chum salmon)
Lineage: Eukaryota; Metazoa; Chordata; Actinopteri; Salmoniformes; Salmonidae
Gene: mmd2a
Gene name: monocyte to macrophage differentiation-associated 2a
Exons: 12
Source: RefSeq, a predicted model, not a curated record